CACGCCGUAAACGAUGUGUGCUUGUCGCUGGGGGGUUUCACCCUUCGGUGACGCAGCUAACGCGUUAAGCACACCGCCUGGGAAGUACGGCCGCAAGGUUAAAACUCAAAGGAAUUGACGGGGACCCGCACAAGCGGUGGAGUAUGUGGUUUAAUUCGUCGCAACGCGAAGAACCUUACCAGGCCUUGACAUGCCCUCUAUGAGGUAGAGAGAUCUACUUCUUCACUUCGGGUGGGAGGAGCACAGGUGC
RNAcentral lists this ribosomal RNA (250 nucleotides) under uncultured bacterium. Its description in RNAcentral is "partial 16S ribosomal RNA". It matches the Rfam family "Bacterial small subunit ribosomal RNA", at positions 796 to 1041 of the family's 1533-position model. The record is from RNAcentral.